This is a non-coding RNA of Procambarus clarkii (red swamp crayfish), 349 nucleotides long. Lineage: Eukaryota; Metazoa; Arthropoda; Malacostraca; Decapoda; Cambaridae. The record is from RefSeq and is a predicted model, not a curated record.
AAUACACUCAAGAAGCUAAAGAAACGUCAACCAAUUGCCGUAAAUCGUCAUGGAGCGAAUGACCUGGCCCUGGAAGUUUAUUUUGUUGGCAACUGCUUGUUCAGGUUUUGUUUUGGUUCUGGAGGGAGUUGAAAGGGAUUCGAACAACAGUGAUGAUCGAGAUGACUGUCCCUACGUGCACGUAGGGGACCAGUGCCUGCUGUUUGUCAACUUCCAGCUGGACACCUAUGAUGUCGCCCAGGCACUAUGUCAAGGUUUUGGGGGGAACUUGGUCGUUAUCAAGACUGCCACACAGAUGAAAGCCAUCAUGGACUAUCUCUAUACUGAUGGUAGGUGAAUCAAAGUUUUU